AUGGCGGACCAGAGAAAUCAGAACCGACGACACACUCAGCAGGAGAGCCAGAACCGAAUGGAUAAAAAAUACAUCCUGGAAUGGCAAGAUUCCCCAUGGGCAGGCACCUUCAUUUUGCUAGUAUUGAGAGAGAUGUUGUCUUUACUGGCACCUGAUUUAUCCAAUGAGAUUGCAAUGGGAGCCUCAGCAAAUGGGUGUCAAAUUGGAGGAGAGAAAUCCGUUAAACAAUGGAGUAACGUUUUACUGAAGGUAAGGCAUGUUGCUUUACAUAAUUAAGACAUAUAUUUUCUUAUUUUAUUACAGAACUUGUGGCAUUUUUCAAUAUCGAGCCUGUUCAUCAUGUCUUCAGUCUCAUGGGCCUGCAGCCUAAGACUUGAGCUCUUAUUUAUAAUGAGACACAGAUGUCAGGCAGAUACAGCAUGUCUGUGAGCAGUGCUGCAUGUCCUCCUCUCUAUAGAAUAGCCCAUGGUUUAGGUGUGGUCUUUCAGAUGGUUUUCUUCACCGAGAGAAUAGAGCAUUCUAUUACUAGCACACCACUCUGCUGCUGUUUCUGUAUCUCUUCUGAACAUAUUUCUUGGAAAUGUUACACACACCGCACACUGCUUGCUGUGCAGUCAUGUGUAGACACUCCAUGUCGACACUCCAUGUAAUAACUGCUUAUACCAUGGCAACGUUUGAAUACUUGUUUCUGAUUGGCUUGCAGGGCAUUCCAGAGUGUGCAUUAUUUCCCUAUGGCGCGCGGUAGAAUUUUGAAAACAAAAGUGAAUUGAAAACAUGAAUGGCAUUGUUGAAUUUGAUUUUCAUAAUGGAAAGCUAGGACCGAUGGUUUGGUUAGCUAAACUAAGAAUACUGUUUGGUUACCAUCUAGUAGACUUGCUAGCUACUUGCGUGGAUGCUAAACACAUUUCUAGCAGCAAAUGAACACGUCUAGCGGCAAAUGUCUUAAAUUACAGCCAUGGUAUAGAAGGGACAAUCAACUCAUUGCUCUAUGCGUUCUCUGGAAAAUAAUGCAACUCCGUGGAAGGUCAGUUCCACUCCGCCAGUGUGUCGUUCAUUCGUUUCCAUAGAGUGCAUAGCCUCCUAUCCCUUACAUAAUGAAUACAUGUACAUGUGUCAUAGAGGAGGUGUGAUUAGCGCAGGGGCACUGCACUCCAAGUCACUCUAUGUUGACAGACAAUUCCUCUAGUCAGACAUUCUGUGUCAUUUGAGACCUCUGGCAUGCUGUGUGCCCUUGUGGCUACAACGGUUGAAUAAUAGUGCACUUGAGUGAAACUGCAACUGCUUUAAUGUCUCACAGACGGGACAAACAAAAUAGAAAUGAAACGUUUCAUGUGUGUGUGUGUAUAGUACCCGUUGGGGUGAGCGUACAUCCUCUAAAAGUGGACUUCUAAAUAUUGGCAUGUUGGAGAAAUAAA
This 1415-nucleotide long non-coding RNA is filed under the name Oncorhynchus mykiss (rainbow trout). Its description in RNAcentral is "lncRNA (ENSOMYG00000066732.1)". Lineage: Eukaryota; Metazoa; Chordata; Actinopteri; Salmoniformes; Salmonidae. The record is from RNAcentral.